UCUUAAUAGUUGCCAAUUUUAAACAUUCGGAAAUUUACCCCAAAUUCAUUAUCUUCUCCCAUUCAUCGUGUCAUGUAAUCCUCAAUCAACCACCACGGGCAUCGGCAUCGGCACCGGCACCACCGCCGGUGAUAAUUCCUACAUACCACCACCUCAAAAACCCUUCGACAACCCUCUUCCUCCACCAUCACUUCCCGAUUUCUCUCCCCUUCACCUCUUCAACUUGCUGCUUCCAUGUCUGAAAUCAAGAUCAAUAAGCCUGAUCCUAGGCCCAUGCCCAAGCCCAAGCCCGUUCUUGAGGAGGAGGAUGAUGAAGAAUUAGAGAAUGAAGGCUCUUUGAGGAAAAGAAGUAAUAGAAACGUUGGUGUUGGUGGGGGUGUGGAUAGCGUUGGUGCUGGAGGCGUGAAUAGCAGUAUAAGAUUAGAGGAUGAAGAAGAUGAAGCUCCACCACCUUUGCUGCGUUGGUACUUUCAUUGCUCAUGAGGUUUCAAAGAUGCUUGAGGCUACAAGAUUGCAUAUCACUCCAAUUUUGCUGAUAAGUGAUAAUAGAGUUUUGGUUUUCCUUUGGUGGUGUGGUUGUGAUUGCUGUGGUUUUCUCCGUUCACACUUCUUCAGCUCUCCUACUUCACUUUGUCAAGGUAAAGGUUUUGUUUUCCUCUAAAAUUUAUUCAUUUGAAGCUUUGGUUAUCGGUUUAGAAAGUAUCAGAAAGUUACUUGGUAACUGUGCUAACUGCUGAUAGAUUUUGCUUUGGUUGUUAACAGUUUUUAUGUUCAGGUUUUUUUUUGUAAGGAUUUUCAUAUACCAUUUAUAGUCAUGGUUCAAAUAAACUCCUAAUAAUUUAGGAAAUAGUUAUGUGUUGUUACUUAGUGCAUUAGAAUGACUGGUCCGAAGCAUUUUCAACCAUCAAUGAAGGAGCUACUGAUGGAGUUUAGAGUUGAGGUAAGCUUGAACCAAGUUAAAUAUGUUUGAAUGUAAUUUGAUGCCUUCAAAGAAUGAGCCGAUUGAUGUGGAAUCUAUUGUGGAGGAUAUUAAGGUGUCAUGGAGGUGGUGUUUGACUAGACUAGAAAUUCUGACUUGCUUGUAUCAUGAAUGGAGUUGGAAUCCGAAUGAGUGCCUGUUGAGGCAACAUUUUGCGUGAGAGUUAAGCUCUGUUGAGGGUGGCUUUAUCUUGUUUCGAUCCUUAACAAUAGGUGUUGUGGCUGUGGUAGUUGCUGGGAUUUUUUGUCUCGGGUGUGGGGUUUUUUCUCUCUCACUUUUGUGCUGCUGGUAUGUGCUGCUGCGGUCAACUGUGGCAGCAGCUGCUGUUAUUUUAGGACAGCAGCGGUUGGUGUUUUGCCAGGAACCUCCGACUGUUCGUACCUUGGUGUUGAUUGUGAGGUAGUGGUAUGCGUAAAUGACUGGUGCACUGGAGGAUAAGAGAAAACAGUUUUUGCAGGCAACACCUGGGAUUCAAAAAUGCUUCCGUGGUCUUCAAUCCCGCAGUUAUUUCUGUGAACUUAAGAAUGGAGUGACAACAUUAUAAUCAUGUACUGCUAGUAGCAAUAUUAGUUUCAAUUUUAGCAAAACUAUCAAUUGAUUGUAGGCAUUAUGAUAUUUUUCUUCAUUGAAAAGAAGAUUUCUAAUGUAAUUAUCAUAAAUAUUGCUUGAAAUAGAGAGUCCUCUGCUGUUUGGCCUCUAGUUGAAAAAUAAAUUUGAGGAUCUUAUUGCCACUCAUUCAUUGUGAAAAUUCUAUACCUAGGUUGUAGGCUAAAAUCAUUAAAUUCUUGUCA
Molecule: RNA transcript, 1770 nt
Organism: Medicago truncatula (barrel medic)
Lineage: Eukaryota; Viridiplantae; Streptophyta; Magnoliopsida; Fabales; Fabaceae
Exons: 3
Source: RefSeq, a predicted model, not a curated record